AAUUUGCUCCACUUUCAUCCUCCUUCUCGAUGAAAUUAUAAUUUUUACUCCUUAAAAAUAACGAUGUUAAAUUUUCAAUAAUCUGGAUAACGGCGUGUCAUGUUUCAUGCUAUAUCAGAAAUUGAAAAUCUAAACUUAAGAUGAAAAUGCUUUGGUUCUCUUUCUCGUUACCAUGGCUAACAACUCUCCUCCCUCUCUCUGCCUCGGUCUCCACCCUUAACACCAUCACCUUUACCUCGGCCUUCCACCUCAAUCUCGCCACCCUCCGUUGUCUCGCCUCUCAUCUCGCCGUUCCUGUUGGGUGCGCGGCGACAAGUUGUUGGGCCGGGUUCAUCUCACCAUUAACCUCUCCCCUGCCCUCUCUCACUUCAAUACCUUUCACAGUGACUGGAGUUGAUAC
This 400-nucleotide long non-coding RNA is filed under the name Vigna radiata. Its description in RNAcentral is "long non-coding RNA (VRAD_LNC006821)". The record is from RNAcentral. Lineage: Eukaryota; Viridiplantae; Streptophyta; Magnoliopsida; Fabales; Fabaceae.